UUUGGCUAUUUGGGGAUUCCUUUGAGAUUCCCUAUGAAUUUGGGAUGAAUUUUUCUAUUUCUGCAAAAAAAGGUCAUUGGGAUUUU
Non-coding RNA from Ceratotherium simum simum (southern white rhinoceros), 86 nucleotides. The record is from RefSeq and is a predicted model, not a curated record. NCBI's taxonomy places the organism in Eukaryota, Metazoa, Chordata, Mammalia, Perissodactyla, Rhinocerotidae.